GACGAACGCUGGCGGCGUGCUUAACACAUGCAAGUCGAACGGAUAGGCCCUGCUUUUGUGGGGUGCUCGAGUGGCGAACGGGUGAGUAACACGUGAGUAACCUGCCCUUGACUUUGGGAUAACUUCAGGAAACUGGGGCUAAUACCGGAUAGGAGCUCCUGCUGCAUGGUGGGGGUUGGAAAGUUUCGGCGGUUGGGGAUGGACUCGCGGCUUAUCAGCUUGUUGGUGGGGUAGUGGCUUACCAAGGCUUUGACGGGUAGCCGGCCUGAGAGGGUGACCGGCCACAUUGGGACUGAGAUACGGCCCAGACUCCUACGGGAGGCAGCAGUGGGGAAUAUUGCACAAUGGGCGGAAGCCUGAUGCAGCAACGCCGCGUGCGGGAUGACGGCCUUCGGGUUGUAAACCGCUUUCGCCUGUGACGAAGCGUGAGUGACGGUAAUGGGUAAAGAAGCACCGGCUAAUUACGCG
RNAcentral lists this ribosomal RNA (468 nucleotides) under uncultured bacterium. RNAcentral's name for it is "partial 16S ribosomal RNA". It matches the Rfam family "Bacterial small subunit ribosomal RNA", at positions 28 to 507 of the family's 1533-position model. The record is from RNAcentral.